Non-coding RNA from Phrynosoma platyrhinos (Desert horned lizard), 70 nucleotides. NCBI's taxonomy places the organism in Eukaryota, Metazoa, Chordata, Lepidosauria, Squamata, Phrynosomatidae. The record is from the annotation of a GenBank genome assembly.
GAGAGAGUGGUGUAGUGUUUCAGCAUUGGACUAUGACUCUGAGAUCAGAGUUCGAUUCCCUGCUCAGCCA